Molecule: non-coding RNA, 315 nt
Organism: Plasmodium blacklocki (nom. inval.)
Lineage: Eukaryota; Apicomplexa; Aconoidasida; Haemosporida; Plasmodiidae
Source: the annotation of a GenBank genome assembly
AUUAAUGAAGUUAAGAGUCAUAAACGUAUUUUUUUUUUAUAUUAUUGUUUUUAUAAAAUUAUAACAAUAUACGUUUAUGUAGUAACACUUCAUAUAAUGAUGAAGGUUUUUUCUUUAUUAUAUUAUUCACUUUAUAUAUAAUUAAAGUACAAUCACACAAUAUAAAAAUAAAUGUUUUAUUUAUUCUUUUAUUGUAUGUGAUCAUUGUAUAUAUAUAUAUAUAUAUAUGUAAAUAAUAAUAUAUUAUUUCUAUUUCUUUUUUUUUGUUUUUUUUCCAUCCAAAGGAAAAAAAGAAUAAAGAAAAACCUUAUAAUU